AUCCAGACUCCUACGGGAGGCAGCAGUGGGGAAUAUUGCACAAUGGGGGAAACCCUGAUGCAGCAACGCCGCGUGAGUGAAGAAGUAUUUCGGUAUGUAAAGCUCUAUCAGCAGGGAAGAAAAUGACGGUACCUGAGUAAGAAGCCCCGGCUAACUACGUGCCAGCAGCCGCGGUAAUACGUAGGGGGCAAGCGUUAUCCGGAUUUACUGGGUGUAAAGGGAGCGUAGACGGCGAUACAAGUCUGAAGUGAAAGCCCGGGGCUCAACCCCGGGACUGCUUUGGAAACUGUGUUGCUGGAGUGCUGGAGAGGCAAGCGGAAUUCCUAGUGUAGCGGUGAAAUGCGUAGAUAUUAGGAAGAACACCAGUGGCGAAGGCGGCUUGCCGGACAGUAACUGACGUUGAGGCUCGAAAGCGUGGGGAGCAAACAGGAUUAGAUACCCCAGUA
RNAcentral lists this ribosomal RNA (446 nucleotides) under uncultured bacterium. Its description in RNAcentral is "bacterial SSU rRNA". It matches the Rfam family "Bacterial small subunit ribosomal RNA", at positions 329 to 792 of the family's 1533-position model. The record is from RNAcentral.